This 22-nucleotide unclassified non-coding RNA is filed under the name Dictyostelium discoideum. Lineage: Eukaryota; Evosea; Eumycetozoa; Dictyosteliales; Dictyosteliaceae. The record is from RNAcentral.
UGAGGCAAUAACAGGUCUGUGA